This 253-nucleotide ribosomal RNA is filed under the name uncultured bacterium. RNAcentral describes it as "partial 16S ribosomal RNA". It matches the Rfam family "Bacterial small subunit ribosomal RNA", at positions 524 to 776 of the family's 1533-position model. The record is from RNAcentral.
UACAGAGGGUGCAAACGUUGCCCGGAAUCAUUGGGCGUAAAGCGCGUGUAGGCGGCCAGGUAAGUCCGUUCUGAAAGCCCGGGGCUCAACCCCGGGAGGCGGAUGGAUACUGCUUGGCUCGAGUCCGGAAGAGGCGAGUGGAAUUCCCGGUGUAGCGGUGAAAUGCGCAGAUAUCGGGAGGAACGCCAAUGGCGAAUGCAGCUCGCUGGGACGGGACUGACGCUGAGACGCGAAAGCGUGGGGAGCAAACAGG